GCCCCCGUAGCUCAGUGGAUAGAGCGCUUCCCUCCGAAGGAAGAAGUCGCUGGUUCAAAUCCAGUCGGGGGCACCA
This 76-nucleotide transfer RNA is filed under the name Actinomycetota bacterium. RNAcentral describes it as "tRNA-Arg". It matches the Rfam family "tRNA". From Rfam's summary of the family: Transfer RNA (tRNA) molecules are approximately 80 nucleotides in length. Their secondary structure includes four short double-helical elements and three loops (D, anti-codon, and T loops). The record is from RNAcentral. Lineage: Bacteria; Bacillati; Actinomycetota.